Rhododendron vialii is the source of this 562-nucleotide long non-coding RNA. RefSeq lists it as uncharacterized. The transcript has 3 exons. Lineage: Eukaryota; Viridiplantae; Streptophyta; Magnoliopsida; Ericales; Ericaceae. The record is from RefSeq and is a predicted model, not a curated record.
UCUAAAACAGUUGAAAUUCGCAUUUAUUGUUGGUAUAAUGUAAAGAUGGUCAUGAAAGACUCCACUGGCUCUGUGGAACUCUUGGUAAAGGAUACGAAGGCAGAAUUCAUCUUACAAUGUGUCCCCUCAUAUCUAAAGAAAUUAAUAUUAAAGGAUAAUGGGGUGCAAAUGCUCAAAGACUAUAUUUCUCAAUCUUAUGAAUGCCCAUAUGUGUUUAUUAUUCCUACUCCAAAAUUUGGAUGCCUUGACCAUUGUGCCCCUGUGGUGACUUCUGUAUUAAAAGUUGAUUAGUCAGAAGAGUGUUGGCACAUUUUCAAAGGAAAGGAGAGGACUGGCAAAGAGACAAUGAGGUCAUCGUGAUAAGAGCUUUGUUAAGACAUUGGAAAUUUCAUAAUGACAUUUUAUUUGUUAGGUUAAGUUUUACAAAAAUAUAUUUGGUUUGACAGUAGUUAAUUUUAAUUACGUGUGUUGGGUGAUUUAUGGAUUUUGGAAAUUUGUGUAAAACUUGAAUAUUAUUUGCACCUCGAUUUGUCCUGCACAUAUACCGAAGUUUAGUUUGUUC